RNAcentral lists this transfer RNA (71 nucleotides) under Cornufer vitiensis (Fiji tree frog). Its description in RNAcentral is "Platymantis vitiensis (Fiji tree frog) tRNA-Ala". It matches the Rfam family "tRNA". Rfam says of the family: Transfer RNA (tRNA) molecules are approximately 80 nucleotides in length. Their secondary structure includes four short double-helical elements and three loops (D, anti-codon, and T loops). Further hydrogen bonds mediate the characteristic L-shaped molecular structure. tRNAs have two regions of fundamental functional importance: the anti-codon, which is responsible for specific mRNA codon recognition, and the 3' end, to which the tRNAs corresponding amino acid is attached (by aminoacyl-tRNA synthetases). tRNAs cope with the degeneracy of the genetic code in two manners: having more than one tRNA (with a specific anti-codon) for a particular amino acid; and 'wobble' base-pairing, i.e. permitting non-standard base-pairing at the 3rd anti-codon position. Lineage: Eukaryota; Metazoa; Chordata; Amphibia; Anura; Ceratobatrachidae. The record is from RNAcentral.
AGGGCUUUAUCUUAAUUUAAAGAGUUUGAGUUGCAAUCAAAGAAUGUAGGUUGAAGUCCUGCAGGUUCUAU